UCAGAUCCGAGAGGUCAAGGAACUUUUUCUGUUUCAGUCUUUUUGAUCCUAGUUUCCUGUUGUCCUGAGAGCGACUUCCUGUGUGCGUCUGGCAAAUGUGUCCCAGUUGAUGAUGUCUGUGAUUUCAAGGACGACUGUGACGAUGGUUCCGACGAGGAGUUCUGUGGGUCGUGUGAUUUUGAGCGCCACUCCUGUGGAUGGAACGACAGCAGUGUGGGAGUGUACCGCUGGAGUCUGGAGAGGGCUAACAUCAGCCUGAUUCCUGGACAGGACCACACCACGGGAUCACCCUGGGGUCAUGUUAUGCAUGUGGAAGGAGACUCAGCAACACACUUUGGCAGGGCCGUGUUGUUGCAUUCCGUUGACCAACCAAUGGCUUUGGGAUGCCAUAUAAGGUAAGGAGAAAUUCUGUACUGGUCAGCGUUUCCCUUUGAUUUACAGCUUUACGGUUUUAAUCAUUGCGUAACAAAAAGAGGAGGAGGGAGAGUUCGUGAGGUAUAAAGUCAUAGUUUUUCAUCUG
RNAcentral lists this long non-coding RNA (520 nucleotides) under Oncorhynchus mykiss (rainbow trout). RNAcentral's name for it is "lncRNA (ENSOMYG00000067196.1)". Lineage: Eukaryota; Metazoa; Chordata; Actinopteri; Salmoniformes; Salmonidae. The record is from RNAcentral.